This 555-nucleotide long non-coding RNA is filed under the name Brassica napus (rape). RNAcentral describes it as "long non-coding RNA (BNAP_LNC014248)". The record is from RNAcentral. Lineage: Eukaryota; Viridiplantae; Streptophyta; Magnoliopsida; Brassicales; Brassicaceae.
GAAUGCGGAAUGCUUAGAUGAUAUCGCUAAGUUGUGGAUAGUUAGGCAUUCUGGAAUAUGAUUGGUUGUGUUAAUUUGCGAUUAAUACUAGGAAUCAUGUGUUAUUUUUACCGGGUUUAGUAUUAAUCAUAUUUUGGCCAUAUAGCAUUUGUGUAACCCACACUGCUAGGCAUGUUUGAGGUGAAAUGUGUUGAUUGUGUGGAGAUUAAUUCUAGGAACCUUGUGUUAUUUUUACCGGGUUUAGUAUUAAUCAUAUAUUGGCCGACAGCAUUUGUGUAACCCACAAUGCUAGGCAUAUUGGGGUGAGUUAGUGUUCCUUCAGACCUCGUACCCGGCGGGUUCAAGGAAACCCCUUAUUCGCUGGAUCAGGAAGACUCAGAUAGACGGGGUCAUGGCCUAGGGCUGAGUGAUUACACGACGGUGUAAUGUGGCAGUGACCUGAAGGACUGUGGGCUGUCGCGCUGUGACCCGAAGGACUGUGGGCCGCGGUCGGUUGAAAGUUCCUUCUUCUGGCCUUCGUGGUAGGAAGAUAGGAUAUUGCCGAUAGUGAAGGAG